GGGUUGUGAGGUUAAGCGACUAAGCGUACACGGUGGAUGCCCUGGCAGUCAGAGGCGAUGAAGGACGUGCUAAUCUGCGAUAAGCGUCGGUAAGGUGAUAUGAACCGUUAUAACCGGCGAUUUCCGAAUGGGGAAACCCAGUGUGAUUCGUCACACUAUCAUUAACUGAAUCCAUAGGUUAAUGAGGCGAACCGGGGGAACUGAAACAUCUAAGUACCCCGAGGAAAAGAAAUCAACCGAGAUUCCCCCAGUAGCGGCGAGCGAACGGGGAGGAGCCCAGAGCCUGAAUCAGUGUGUGUGUUAGUGGAAGCGUCUGGAAAGGCGCGCGAUACAGGGUGACAGCCCCGUACACAAAAAUGCACAUACUGUGAGCUCGAUGAGUAGGGCGGGACACGUGGUA
Molecule: ribosomal RNA, 400 nt
Filed under: Escherichia coli
Lineage: Bacteria; Pseudomonadati; Pseudomonadota; Gammaproteobacteria; Enterobacterales; Enterobacteriaceae
Description: bacterial LSU rRNA
Rfam family: Bacterial large subunit ribosomal RNA
Source: RNAcentral